Long non-coding RNA from Mercenaria mercenaria, 661 nucleotides. RefSeq lists it as uncharacterized. The record is from RefSeq and is a predicted model, not a curated record. The transcript has 2 exons. Lineage: Eukaryota; Metazoa; Mollusca; Bivalvia; Venerida; Veneridae.
UACCGGUACCGAAAAACAAUUUAUAAAAUAGUUUUAGCCUUCAGUUUAAAGCCGAUAUUGAUUUUACGGUGUUUUCCAUUAUAGUAUUUCACAAUAUUGCAUCAGCCGGUUACGACUACUUUUUAUCAAUACACAUAACAUUCUUUACUAUUUUAAGUAUUAUAAUGAAUAAGUGGAAUUUAAACAACUGAAAUGUAUUUAAGAGGUCUACAAACAUAUUAUUAGGCAGACGAAUUACAACGUGAAAAAUGCAAGACUUUAUAAAGACAACGAACGUUUAAAACAAAAUAUAUCAUCGGAAGACUUCAAGAAAAGAAUGUUAACCGUAGCAUGGUUGAAUAUCAUAAUACUUUCAUGUUGUGAGAAUCACUCAACCGUAGGAGUAUGCCAUAUGCAUACGCAUGACUGAACAUUAUAAUACUUUCGUGUUGUGAGGAUUACUCGACCAUAGGAUUAUACCAUAAUCAUACGCAUGGUUGAAUAUACGCUUUUGGGAGUAGUAUAGAAUAUAACGUUUAUGGGUACUUUUUGGAUAGUAUUAAAGAAUAUUAUGUUUUUGGAAAAUUUUAACCCUUUUUAUUCAAAUAAUUUAUAAUUGUUUGUUCAUUAUGUUUUACAUUGUUUACUUUCAGUAUUUUAUAGAAUAAAUCAUAAAUGUUGA